UGCCAGCCGCCGCGGUAAUACGUAAGUCGCAAGCGUUAUCCGGAAUUAUUGGGCGUAAAGCGUCCGUAGGCGGUUUUUUAAGUCUGUGGUUAAAUCCCAGGGCUCAACCCUGGAAUCGUCAUAGAAACUAUUGAACUUGAGGUAUGAAGGGGCAGAUGGAAUUCCAGAAGUAGGGGUAAAAUCCGUAGAUCUCUGGAGGAACACCAAACGCGAAGGCAUUCUGCUGGUCAUUACCUGACGCUGAGGGACCAAAGCGCGGGCAUCGAACCGGAUCAGAUAC
RNAcentral lists this ribosomal RNA (280 nucleotides) under uncultured bacterium. RNAcentral's name for it is "partial 16S ribosomal RNA". It matches the Rfam family "Bacterial small subunit ribosomal RNA", at positions 506 to 785 of the family's 1533-position model. The record is from RNAcentral.